Molecule: long non-coding RNA, 2896 nt
Filed under: Anas platyrhynchos platyrhynchos (common mallard)
Lineage: Eukaryota; Metazoa; Chordata; Aves; Anseriformes; Anatidae
Description: lncRNA (ENSAPLG00000023273.1)
Source: RNAcentral
CUGACGUGGUGGCGUCUCCGGCUGGGGCCAGACUCGCUCGGGUUUCUUCCUGCUGGGGGGCUUGCGGGGUUUCUGCUGCCGCCGAAUGUACUCGACUGGGGACAGGGGGGGGCAAUGACUGAGGGGGUGCGAGGCGGAGGGGAAGGGGGGGACGCGUCUGUGUGUGUCCCCCCCCCCAGCCAUCCCAGGGGACCCCAUCGGUCCCCGCCUGCCCCCCCCGGCACCGUACAGUCCUCGUAGUCCUCCCGCUCCAGCUGCUCGUUGUAGUCCAGCGUCGGCGGCUCCGGCUCCGCGGGGACCUCUGCGGGGGGGACACGGGGACGUGGGACACGGGGGGGUGGCACCGGGGUGACAGGGGGAGGUGGCACAGGGAUGCUGGGGUGGCAUCGGGAGGCAGGGAGGUGGCAGCAGGGCAAGGGGAGGUGGUGACAGGACGUGGGGUGGUGGCACUGGGAUGCUGGGGUGACACUGGGACACGGGGAGGUGGCACUGGGAAGCAGGGGACAGCACUGGGAUGGAGGGAGGUGGCACCAGAGGGGUGGCACUGGGACACAGCAAGAGGACGCGGGGGGACAGGGGGUGGCACUGGGAUGCCAGGAGGUGGCAGCAGGUCACUGGGAGAUGACGGAGGGGACCAGGGAGUGGCACUGGGGACACAGGGAGGGGGCACUGGGGGUCAGAGGGUGGCACUGGGAUGCCGGGAGGUGGCAGCAGGUCACUGGGACAUGACACAGGGAUCAGAAUGGUGGCAGUGGGGACACAGGGAGGGGUUACUGGGGAUCAGAGGGUGGCACUGGGAUGCCGGGGUGUGGCACUGGGAUGCCAGGAGGUGGCACUGGGACGCAGCGGGUGGCCUGGGGCUCUCACCAGCCUCGGGAGGGGGGUGCCAGUCCUCCCCCCCCAGCUCCCAGCGCUCCGUCGGCAGCUCCUCCAGCCCGCCUGGGGACAGGGACACGCAGAGGGGGGGGCAGCGCUGGCGUCCCCAGCCCACCCCCAGCCCCCCCCCCCCAGCAAGGGGACCCCAGGGAGGAAGGAGACGGGGGACAAGGGGCAGGAUGGGGGUGGCCCCGGCCACACCAUGCGCCCCCCCCCCCGGGGGACAAAGCAGUGGGGAGCCGAGGGGACGCGGUGACAAGCGCUCAGCACAGGACGGGACCCCCGGUGUCCCCCCGCUCACCUCGGUCUCUGCCAUCCUCCUCCUCCUCCUCAGGGACCCGCGGCUGCCCUGGGGACAGGGACGUCCCCUCUCUGUCCUCGCCCCGCGGGGGGUGCGGGGCCACGGGGGGCUCCCAGGGGGUGUCCGGUGGCUCCGGGGGCCUCGUGCCCGAGGGCUUCUUGGUGGCCUUGGGUGGCUUCUCCUUGGGUGGCUUCUCCUUGGGCGGCUUCUCCUUGGGCUUCUUGGGGGGCUUGUCCCCGUCCUUGCUCUUGUCCCUGCUCUUGUCCCGCUCCUUGUCCCUGUCCCUGUCCUUGUCCUUUUUGGAGCCCCGUGCUCUCUCCUUGGGCUUUUUGGUGGGUUUUGGGGCUUUUUCCUUCCGGCCCUUCUUGGGUGCCUCGGGCUCCGGCAGCCGCCCCGGAGGGUCUGGGGGGGGCCGGGUCGUGUCGGGGGGAGUGGGUAGGGACAGGACAGCCCCGGCCGGGCACUCCCAACCCAGCACCCCCAGCCCAGCACCCCCCAGUGCCCCCCAUCACUGCGCCCCCCGUGCCUCCCCCUCCCCAAUCCCUCCCCAAUCCCGCUCCCUCCCGGUACCGGGCAGCCCCAGCAGCCCCCCCCCUCACCGGUGCUCAGCCCGGUGCCGGUGCCCUGCUCGGUGGCGAAGCCCGGCUCGGUGCCAUCCCCGUCCCCGUCCCCGUCGCCGUCGCCGUCGCGGUCCCCGUCGGGCCCGAGGAAGCCCCUGAGGAACGCCUCGAUCUCGGCGUCGGUGAGCGCGGGCGCGGCGGGGUCCGGGGCGGCCCCGGGCAGCGGCAGCAGCAGCGCGGCCGCCAGCAGGAGGCAGGAACGGGGCGGCCCCGACAGCGCCAUCGCCGCCGCCGCCGCCGCCGAGCACCGGCACGGCCCCGCCGAGCACCGGGGGAGGGCAGGGGAGGGGCGGGGGCGGGCUGGGGGCGGCACCGGGAGGGGAUUUGGGGAGGGUUGGGGGGGGGGGCGGGAACGGCACCGGCACCGCGUUGGCACCGCGUUGGCACGGGGAUGGCACCGGCACCGGCACCGCGUUGGCAUCACCUUGGCACGGGAAUGGCACCGGCACCGCGUUGGCACGGCACAGCAUGGCACGGGAAUGGCAACAGCACCUCGUUGGCACUGAGUUGGCACUGCGUUGGCACGGCACCGGCACCGUGUUGGCAUCACCUUGGCACGGGAACGGCACCGGCACCGCGCUGGGACGGCACGGCACCACACCGGCACCACACAGCACCAGCACGGAGUUGGCACCGCAUUGGCACGGCACUGGCACUGUGUGGCACCGGCACUGGCACUGCGUGGGCACGGCACUGCUUUGGCUCCGCACGGCACCGGCACCGGCACCGUAUUGGCACCUCCUGGCCCCACAGCCGGCACUCACACCGUUGGCACGGCAUGGCACUGGCACCACGCAGGAGCCGUGCUGCCUCGGCACCGGUGUUGGCACCGUGCAGCACCAGCACCGGUUGGCCCUGGCACUGCCUCGGCACCAGCUCUGUGCAGGAACCAGCGCGGCACCGGCACGGGACCCAGCACCGGCACCGCACGGGCACGGCACGGCCACGCCAAGGCCACCGAGCGUGUGGCACCGGGCUGUCCCCGUCACCCAGAGCCACUUCGGACAGGCCUCACGGCACCGCGUGCCCCGUUCCUACCGGCCCAGCACCGCGCCAGGCCCCGGCAGGAUCCCGCAGGCUCCCCGGGCCCCACGGUGAC